RNAcentral lists this ribosomal RNA (560 nucleotides) under Pediococcus acidilactici. RNAcentral's name for it is "bacterial SSU rRNA". It matches the Rfam family "Bacterial small subunit ribosomal RNA", at positions 11 to 525 of the family's 1533-position model. The record is from RNAcentral. Lineage: Bacteria; Bacillati; Bacillota; Bacilli; Lactobacillales; Lactobacillaceae.
UUUUUNNCCUGGCUCAGGAUGAACGCUGGCGGCGUGCCUAAUACAUGCAAGUCGAACGAACUUCCGUUAAUUGAUUAUGASGUGCUUGCACUGAAUGAGAUUUUAACACGAAGUGAGUGGCGGACGGGUGAGUAACACGUGGGUAACCUGCCCAGAAGCAGGGGAUAACACCUGGAAACAGAUGCUAAUACCGUAUAACAGAGAAAACCGCCUGGUUUUCUUUUAAAAGAUGGCUCUGCUAUCACUUCUGGAUGGACCCGCGGCGCAUUAGCUAGUUGGUGAGGUAACGGCUCACCAAGGCGAUGAUGCGUAGCCGACCUGAGAGGGUAAUCGGCCACAUUGGGACUGAGACACGGCCCAGACUCCUACGGGAGGCAGCAGUAGGGAAUCUUCCACAAUGGACGCAAGUCUGAUGGAGCAACGCCGCGUGAGUGAAGAAGGGUUUCGGCUCGUAAAGCUCUGUUGUUAAAGAAGAACGUGGGUGAGAGUAACUGUUCACCCAGUGACGGUAUUUAACCAGAAAGCCACGGCUAACUACGUGCCAGCAGCCGGGGGAAAUA